AAUUACUCACAGCUUUUAAUCACAGAGAGCAUAUAGUGGCAAUGUACCUAAGCUAAUUUUUGAUAUAAUAUCCAUACUUUGAUAAAUUCUAAUAAUGAAUUUGACUUAUUAAAUUCCAAAUGAUGACUAACUUUUCAAUAUCUCCUUAUCAAAUCAACAUCACUCACUCAUAAAAAUUCGAAUAUAAAAUUUUCUUCUCCCACAUUGGCAUUAUUGUCUCCAGAUAAAUUAAUUGGUUGAGGAGCUGGCGAUUCCUGGUUUGUGUUGUUAACAGAACUUGUAUUAGAGUAAGCUGGUGAUGCUAUUGAUAUACUCGUGUGGAGUGGAUCAUAUGAUGUAGAAUCGAGCAGUCGGAGUUCGAUAUUUGAAAACAAUUUGGCCAUUUCCAGUUUAACAAUGGCUUGUUCUCUGGGCGGAAAUUUCUUGAAUGUAUCGGCAUAGCUAAGGAAUAAAUUGUCAGUUACGUCGAGUUCCUUCUUAUUUUUAUUAGAAUUUAGAAAUUGUAUCACUCUCCCUACAUCAUCAUCACUUCCUGGAUGUCCUCUUGAUCGUUUAGCUUUUCCAGAUGAAAUGCUUGAUGGUGGCGGGGGUGCCUGUGAUGAUGACGCGGUGGCUUGCGAUGUUGAUGAGGUAGCUUGCUGGCUGGGCUGGGAAAUCUGCGAUGGAGGUACUUAACAACCGGUGAUUCUUAUCAAACAAUUGCAUUUUCUUUUCGGGUUGGACAUAGUACAGUCAGCAAUAUUGUGAAGAAUGUCUGCGUAGAAAUAUGGAUUUUAUUGCAACCAACGUAUAUGCCAGCACCUUCAGAGGAAACAUGGAGGCAAUCAGAAUUUGGAUACAGAGAAUUAUGGAAUUUUCCCAACUGCG
RNAcentral lists this unclassified non-coding RNA (867 nucleotides) under Helicoverpa zea (corn earworm). RNAcentral's name for it is "protein ALP1-like, transcript variant X1". Lineage: Eukaryota; Metazoa; Arthropoda; Insecta; Lepidoptera; Noctuidae. The record is from RNAcentral.